Molecule: ribosomal RNA, 443 nt
Filed under: uncultured bacterium
Lineage: Bacteria
Description: bacterial SSU rRNA
Rfam family: Bacterial small subunit ribosomal RNA
Source: RNAcentral
UGGGGAAUAUUGCGCAAUGGGCGAAAGCCUGACGCAGCGACGCCGCGUGAGGGAUGAAGGUUUUCGGAUCGUAAACCUCUGUCAGAAGGGAAGAAGUUAUACCGUUCUAAUCAGCGGCAUAUUGACGGUACCUUCAAAGGAAGCACCGGCUAACUCCGUGCCAGCAGCCGCGGUAAUACGGAGGGUGCAAGCGUUAAUCGGAAUUACUGGGCGUAAAGCGCACGUAGGCUGUAUGUCAAGUCAAGGGUGAAAUCCCACGGCUCAACCGUGGAACUGCCUUUGAAACUGGCAAACUGGAGUAUGUGAGAGGAUGGCGGAAUUCCUGGUGUAGGAGUGAAAUCCGUAGAUAUCAGGAGGAACAUCAGUGGCGAAGGCGGCCAUCUGGCACAUAACUGACGCUGAGGUGCGAAAGCGUGGGGUAGCAAAUACGAUGAUAGAUACCC